CCACGGCGCGGCUUGCUUCAGUGAAGCCGCGCCGCCGAUUGUGUCACUUAGUGGGCCUCUUUCGGUAAGCGGAACAGGCGAUGCGGAAUGCUCCGCAAGUGGACGUAAGGCGCCUAAGUGUAGGCUCACAGAUACCAUGAAGGGUGUUCGUUGAUAUAGACAGCAGGACGGUGGCCAUGGAAGUCGGAACCCGCUAAGGAGUGUGUAACAACUCACCUGCCGAAUCAACCAGCCCCGAAAAUGGAUGGCGCUCAAGCCUACCGCCGACAGUCCACCGUGACCGCUACGACAUCGAAGGGAGUCGACGAUGCGGUCACGUGUAGGGGUGCGUGAAGGCAAAGCUGCGAAGCCUCUGGCGUGAGCCUGGGUGGAGCUGCCUUUAGUGCAGAUCUUGGUUGUAGUAGCGAAUAUUCAACUGUGGAUUCGAACGAACGAUCGUUGAAGGCUGAAGUGGGGAAGGGUUUCGUGUCAACGGCGAUCGGACACGAGUGACUCGGUACUAAAGCCAGCGUUGAAUCGUCCUUGUGGAAGGGGGUGACGUCCCUGCCUCGCGGCAGGGUGCACCCGGUUGGCUGAAAGUAGAGCGGGCUUAACAUUCCCGCAGCCGAUCAUGGGAAUCUGAGGUGGCAACACACGCAGACAAGACUGAUGACGGUGCGCGUCGGGCCCGGGAGAGUUCUCUUUUCUUCUGAAUGGGGCGCCCCUCCAGCGAGUUCGCGUCGAGCGGUGACCUGGAGGCGGCCCCAGCAGAGCCCCGCAUUUGCGCGGGGUAGGGACGCCGACGCUCGCCUAAGAAAAAGUCAGUGGCGUCCGAUUUCCCGAUGACGGGCCGUACCCAUAUCCGCAUCCGGUCCCCAAGCUUUGAAAGCUCUAGCCAGUAGAACAAGGUAGUCUAAGGGAAGUCGGCAAAUUGGAUGUGUAAGCUCGCGAGAAACAUUGGCUCUGAAGGCAAAGCCGCGCGCGGCCGACGCGGGCCGCGGACCAAAGGCGCCGGCCGACCGGGCCAGCGUGUUUCCUCGGACGCACGCUGGCCAGGGGAGCCGCCCGCCUCCGCUGCCCUCGCCCCCGGGCGCAGUCGGGCUCACCGCGCCGGCACUGAAUUGCCAGUUCAGAACUGCUUACCCAGGGGAAUCCAACUGUAUAAUUAAAACACAGGCUUGCGACGCAGAUAAGUUCUGUUUGACGCAAGCUGAUUUCUGCCCAGUGCUCUGAAUGUCAAUGUGACGAGAUUCACCUACGCGCGGGUAAACGGCGGGAGUAACUAUGACUCUCUUAAGGUAGCCAAAUGCCUCGUCUUCUAAUUAGAGACGCGCAUGAAUGGAUUAAUGAGAUUCCCACUGUCCCUAGCUACCAUCUAGCGAACCAACUGCGUCAAGGGAACGGUCUUGAAUGAUUAAGCGGGGAAAGAAGACCCUGUUGAGUUUGACUCCAGUCUCAGUUUGUCGGGCGGCAUAGGAGGUGUAGUCAUAGGUGGGAGGUGCAAACCGGUUCUGAAAAACCACUUCUUCUAUCGUUACUCUGCAAAUUCAAUGGUAAAGCACAGGGGGUUAUGCCGGCUUCGGCCGGCAUUCGCGUCGCGGCUCCCCCGGGAGCCGCGGCCAACUUCCCUCUUACAGAACUAACCGCGCCCCCUGGGGGGCGCGCCAGCUUCAGUUUGGAAACCAGACUGAGAUGGGGAGUUUGGCUGGGGCGGCAUAUCUGCUAAACAACAACGCAGGUGUCCUAAGGCGAGCUCAGUGAGGACAGAAACCUCACGUAGAGCACAAGGGCAAAAGCUCGCUUGAUCUUCGACUUUCAGUACUAGUCGAGAAAGUGAAAGCUUGGCCAGCGAUCCUUUGAGCACGUACAUUCAGGUAUAAUGCCAGAGGUGUCAUAAAAAUUACCACAGGGAUAACUGGCUUGUGGCAGCCAAGCGUUCCUAGCGACGUUGCCGUUUGAUCCUUCGAUGUCGGCUCUUCCUAGCCUUGCGCCGCAGCAGACGCAAAGGGUCGGAUUGUUCACCCGGAUGAGGGAACGUGAGCUGGGUUUAGACCGUCGUGAGACAGGUUGGUUUUACCCUACUUAAUCGUACAUAUCAACUCGGCGCUCCGAGGGUAAUGCGAAGUAGUACGAGAGGAACUUUCGUUUCGCCUCACUAGCAACCGCGGUCCUCCGAAGCGAGGCGCCGCAACGCCACCAGGCGAUGAUUCACAGCUGAACGCCUCUUAAGCUGGAAAUCAACCCCGACGAGCGCCUUGGCCGCACGGCCAACCGGUGCCGAAGUGUAUGCCCGCGACGGUAUGGUCCUCGGACCGCCAUCGGGCAGCUCUAUCGAGCCAUCGUAACGUACGAGUAGGUACCACGGAACACCUGGAACAUACGAUUCCAGAUGCACAGCCAGGUAUACGUGCUGGAGGAAUCUAGGUUCCGACUCACUGAGCCUGUGUGAUGUGCCAAUAGGUGCGA
This is a ribosomal RNA of Perkinsela sp. CCAP 1560/4, 2445 nucleotides long. It matches the Rfam family "Eukaryotic large subunit ribosomal RNA", at positions 1075 to 3401 of the family's 3401-position model. The record is from Rfam. Lineage: Eukaryota; Euglenozoa; Kinetoplastea; Prokinetoplastida; Perkinselidae.